AGAGAUGUGUGAUGACGCAUAUCAAUAAGCGGAGGAAAAGAAACUAGCUAGGAUUCCCUCAGUAACGGCGAGUGAAGCGGGAAGAGCUCAAAUUUGAAAUCUUCAAGGUUCUACCUUGACGAAUUGUAGUUUAAAGAAGUGUUUUCUGUUGGAGUUUUGGUAAAAGUUCUUUGGAAUAGGACAUCAUAGAGGGUGAGAAUCCCGUAUUUGACCAUUAUUUCCAACUUUGUGAUACACUUUCAAAGAGUCGGAUUGUUUGGGAAUGCAGUCCAAAAUGGGUGGUAAAUUUCAUCUAAAGCUAAAUACUGGCGAGAGACCGAUAGCGAACAAGUACCGUGAGGGAAAGAUGAAAAGAACUUUGAAAAGAGAGUUAAACAGUACGUGAAAUUGUCAAAAGGGAAGCGUUUGACACCAGUGUUGUUUUUCCGAAAAUCAAUUACGAAUGUUUUGUUUUUGAGGAGUUAUGACUUCAUCGGCUUGCUCCUUUCUUUAUGAAACUUUCUUAAUGCACUUUUCGGUUAACAAGCCAACAUCAAUUUCUUUUGUUGUAAAAGGGUAUGAGGAAGGUGGCUUUCUUUUCGGAGAAAGUGUUUAUAGCCUUGUGCCUCUGCAAUCGGAGAGAUUGAGGUCUGCAGCGUAGAUCCUUCGGGGUUAGAUACGUUUGUGCUAAGUUAUAGCUUUUCAUAGACAACUUGUUGACUAUGUUGAGUCUUGUAAUCUUACUCGCAGUAUGCUAUUUUACCUACGCUUAGGAUGUUGAUAGUCACAGCGUGUAC
RNAcentral lists this ribosomal RNA (776 nucleotides) under uncultured Neocallimastigales. RNAcentral's name for it is "partial large subunit ribosomal RNA". It matches the Rfam family "Eukaryotic large subunit ribosomal RNA", at positions 23 to 643 of the family's 3401-position model. The record is from RNAcentral. Lineage: Eukaryota; Fungi; Neocallimastigomycota; Neocallimastigomycetes; Neocallimastigales.